This 2125-nucleotide long non-coding RNA is filed under the name Ananas comosus (pineapple). RNAcentral describes it as "long non-coding RNA (ACOM_LNC039991)". Lineage: Eukaryota; Viridiplantae; Streptophyta; Magnoliopsida; Poales; Bromeliaceae. The record is from RNAcentral.
CAAGGAAGGAGUUUACUUGGAGUUUCGUCGCCAACGUCGCGCCGCGGGAUCGUUCGAACACGUAUUUGACGCCGGGACUUUGCGAGGAGAUCGAGCGAGCGUGCGACUACGCUGUUCUUGACGUCGUGCCGGGGCUUGUCGCUGUCGAGGUGAGUAAUUCAGCCUUCCCUUGGAUUUUUGGGCAAGUAUUACUAUUUCUACUCGGUUAGUAGCUGUUUUGCUGAAAUUCGCCGUCGACUGUCCGUAUUUCAGCUCGUUCUCCGCGUAGGAACGUCGGAUCGCGACGAGGCUUGAUUCGUUGGAUUCGGGACUUCGAGAGGAAUCCACGAAGCCCUCACUUUCCAGAUUUGGUGAAGGUUAGCUCGGUCGAAUCCCGUUCCUACUCAGCUGUUGUGAAUUUCUGGACUGAAUCGAGGAUCCUUAAUUGUUUAGCUUGGCGUUAGCUCGUCUACCGGACUUGGAGGUCCCCAGUUGAUCCAGCAGAGGUUGUCCUGGUUCGAGGCUUCGUUCGCUGCCUGGAUUUAGCUUUUGAGGUGGGUUACAUCGGCUUUACUCCUAAGUUCUUAUUGGUCGACAUGUAUAGAUCUUGAUUUCGGUAAAUUGUGUUAGCUCAAAUUCAUGGACUAUAUGUAGAUUGUGAAAUCUGAAUUUUGGAGCAUGUUUUAUAAAUUAAGUAGAUUAUACAUGUUGGACUUGGAAUUUGAAUUAGGAGAAAACCUGCGAUUUGGACCUGUCACCAGUUUUAACUACCUGAUUUAGCUCCAGGAGCCGUUAGAAAAUUGUACUGUCACAGUUUCUUCGAGACGAGUACCCCAGGUAGUUUAGAAUGUAUUUACACUCGUGCUGGUUCGCCGAGUGGAUUUUUACAGGGUCGUUCAGGUUGUUUCGGACUGUUGGGUGCUGUCAGAGUUGACGGUGGACCCGUAUCGCCUUUUUGGCGUCAGAUUGUGCCGAGGGCACGUUACCUGUUGGUUGUUAGACCGGUUUGAGUCGAUUACUUGACUUUGGCUAGUUGGAGCCUGAUUGAGCUCGACAGAGAUACGCUGCAUACUCGGAUGGGCAGCGCCCACGAGUACCACUCCGGAGUCAGGCUGGUGCUUUCGCGUUGGUGUCGCUCAUGCCAGUUGGACUUGCUCUCCACGGACUAGUCAUUGUGGAGGUAGCUGGACAGUCGCAACGGGGCAGGGACGGGUGUAUUCACAGUCCCGGGGACGGGUAUGCUUACAGUCCCGAUUUGGAUUGGGUCAGAUUUGACAUUUCCUACAGUUGGAUAGUGUAGAGCAUGAUAGUGUAGUGGAUGAUAGCGGUAGAGUGUACUUCCUGCUUUUUCUUCUAUCCUUGCUUCCUUCUGUAGACUUAGUGGGUGACCGAUGUCGUUUUGGGCGGUACCCACUGAGGACUACUUGUUUUUACAGUAGUUCUCACGCCCAGUUGUUACUUAUGUUUUGCAGAGCCACAGGUGCCGGCUGCUGCAUCUUUCGCCGAUCAGGAUCGAGGCAAGGGCGUUGCGAGCUAGAGCCCUACCCGACAGUCAGAGCUAGAGGCUUUCCCCUACUGCAGGUAGUUGUUGUUUUGGAGUUUAUGUACAUAGUUGUUUAACUCGCCAGUGCGAGUAGUUUUGUAUUUUGGAUGCUAGCUAUGUAUAUGAAACUCAGUUAUUUAGUUGUUCUUGAGCAGCUCUAUGCUACUGUUUGUAGUAUCGAUUUUCUACAGGUACUUUGACGCUUCGUAUACAGGGGAAAUUCCUUUGUAUACGGCGGAUUUGUCGACGUGUCCGGGGAAUGUGAUAUCCGGGGCGUGACAGCCAAAAAAAAAGAUUGAAAACUAAAUUAAAAAAUAGUACAAAGGUUGGAGACUAAUGAUGUAAUUAAUCCAAAUAAAUUUCUACAAAAUUUAAGUGAUUAGAGAUGUCCCUCCAAAAGUUGGACACCUUUAUAGGUUGCCCUUCUGAUGCUCUUUGGUUAGUCCAUUGUUUAUUUUAUAGCAUUUGGUAAGUAAAAUAACAAUUUUGCCAUAGCAAAUCCGUUCUCUCAAAAAGUCCCAACAUCGAAGAUCGCAAUGGUAAGAAAUGUGCAAAUAUACACGGUGAAUAAGUUCCAAUGGUCAUCUUCUUCCUCAAUUAAAA